ACCAUCUCUAUAUAAACCACUAACAUAAUCUCACAAAAUCACACCUCUCAUAAGCACAAUUCUCCCAUCUCUUGCUAUAUUCUCACUACAUUACAUAAGAAGUGUGAAAUUCACCAUGACACAAAUGAGGGGAUACGAAAUAGUGUUCAAAAACAGCGAGCCAGGUGAAUUACAGGAAGAGACUUACACGACUCUAAGCGUAAGAAAAAUCGAAUCAACAAGGUACGCCGCUGAACCCUGCUUAUUU
This 247-nucleotide long non-coding RNA is filed under the name Lathyrus oleraceus (garden pea). Its description in RNAcentral is "Pisum sativum (pea) long non-coding RNA (PSAT_LNC018097)". Lineage: Eukaryota; Viridiplantae; Streptophyta; Magnoliopsida; Fabales; Fabaceae. The record is from RNAcentral.